AGACGAUGCCACUCUCGUUGCGCAUCAGUCCGCGCGCGAGAU
Molecule: small RNA, 42 nt
Filed under: Sinorhizobium meliloti 2011
Lineage: Bacteria; Pseudomonadati; Pseudomonadota; Alphaproteobacteria; Hyphomicrobiales; Rhizobiaceae
Description: putative ncRNA
Source: RNAcentral